AACAACUCUCAGCAACGGAUAUCUUGGCUCUUGCAACGAUGAAGAACGCAGCGAAAUGCGAUACGUAGUGUGAAUUGCAGAAUUCCGCGAAUCAUCGAGUCUUUGAACGCAAGUUGCGCCCGAGGCUUGACCAAGGGCAUCCGGAGGGAGGGAGAGAGGGGCUGCCAGAGCGUCACC
Molecule: ribosomal RNA, 177 nt
Filed under: Dicranum acutifolium
Lineage: Eukaryota; Viridiplantae; Streptophyta; Bryopsida; Dicranales; Dicranaceae
Description: 5.8S ribosomal RNA
Rfam family: 5.8S ribosomal RNA (bases 4-151)
About the family: 5.8S ribosomal RNA (5.8S rRNA) is a component of the large subunit of the eukaryotic ribosome.
Source: RNAcentral